The sequence is a small nucleolar RNA, 77 nucleotides long. It matches the Rfam family "Small nucleolar RNA SNORD18". Rfam says of the family: U18 is a member of the C/D class of snoRNA which contain the C (UGAUGA) and D (CUGA) box motifs. It is encoded in introns of ribosomal protein L1 in Xenopus and human, and in introns of elongation factor 1 beta in yeast. The record is from Rfam.
GAGAUAUGAUGAUAAAUCUUUUGGUCCGUGUUUCUGAUUUAACCGUGACCGAUAACCUUUUGCCAAUAUCUGAUCUC